GUUUUUACUUUGCAUCGGACUCUGCGGCUUAGGUUUCUAUCGGAUCUUCGAAACCCUAACAAUGGCGGAACAGACGGAGAAGGCUUUUCUGAAGCAGCCCAAGGUGUUUCUUUGCUCGAAGAAAUCGGGGAAAGGAAAGAGGCCAGGAAAAGGAGGAAAUCGGUUUUGGAAGAGCAUUGGUUUGGGAUUCAAAACUCCGAGAGAUGCAAUUGAAGGAACCUAUAUUGACAAGAAGUGUCCAUUCACCGGCACUGUUUCUAUUAGGGGGCGUAUACUUGCUGGUACCUGCCACAGCGCCAAGAUGGUGAGAACCAUCAUUGUAAGACGUAAUUAUCUUCAUUAUGUGAAGAAAUAUCAAAGGUAUGAAAAGAGACACUCUAACAUUCCAGCACAUAUAGCUCCUUGCUUUAGGGUUAAAGAGGGAGACCAUGUUAUCAUUGGCCAGUGCAGGCCGUUGUCUAAGACUGUGAGGUUUAAUGUAUUGAAAGUGAUUCCUGCUGGAUCAUCCACAGGUGGCAAGAAGGCUUUCACAGGGAUUUAAGUCCAGAAUUUUCAGGUGUCCCAUAUUUGUCUAUGUCAAGGGGAUGAUAUGUUAGCAUGAGCUUUUCUUCAGCUAGAUGAUCUUUUCACUUUAUUUAUUAACCGAAUAUUUCAUUAUUGUGAUACUAUUGCAAUUUUGAUUCCCUAAGUUUUGCUUUAUUCAUCAGUAACAGUACCUUCCUUGUU
This 726-nucleotide unclassified non-coding RNA is filed under the name Hevea brasiliensis (rubber tree). Lineage: Eukaryota; Viridiplantae; Streptophyta; Magnoliopsida; Malpighiales; Euphorbiaceae. The record is from RNAcentral.